Molecule: long non-coding RNA, 1807 nt
Organism: Macaca fascicularis (crab-eating macaque)
Lineage: Eukaryota; Metazoa; Chordata; Mammalia; Primates; Cercopithecidae
Source: Ensembl
AAGUGCAUCCAGCCUUCCCUUCCCCCACACGCCCCAAGAGAAUGGGAAGUUCAGCCAAGACUCGCAGCACCUGCCCGCGGCUCCAGGCCGGCUGCGCGGACCCAGAGGGAGGCUGCACUCACCUGGCACACCAAGCCUCCACGCACCUCCGGAGGGAGGCGGCACUUACAGUUGCAGAAACUUAUAAAAACAUCCCCCUGUUCUCCGUUGAGAGUUAAGGAUAGUUUUUGAGGCCAGAGAAAGAGAAAAGAAGGAGAGAUCACCAGAAAGAGAGGAAGAGAAGAAGUGGGAAGAAAAGGAGCUGCAGUCUACAAUGGAAGCCUCCAGGCUCCUUAGCCUCACCUUAUAAAGCCACAUCACUGCAGAGAUAGGAAAGAUCGUGCCCUUUCCCAGGGAGUUUCUACCGCCAGGGAGGCACACACUGACUCGGGAGAACGAGGGAUGCUUAGCUGCUGAAAACCAUCCAUCCCCGUAUAGAAGGCUUUCUGCACAAUGUAAUUUGGGUUCCGAUUAAUCUAAGACCCUGGGAGAAAAGACUGCCUCCAGGGAAUCAUGUCCGAUUAGGGACAAAGGAGGGCACAAGCCCAAUUCAGUCACACGUGAGAGCGCGGGGCAGGGGUUGGGGGGUGGUGGGGUGGUGGUGAAGAGCCAGCAGGGAAGGUGGAGGAUGAGUCUGCAUACCAGACUAUGGUCACUGCAGAGCUGCUUCCAGACCACCUGACUUCAGGCCCAAGAACAGGUGGUGGUUUUAAAACACACUGUUAUUUAUUUUGGCCGUAUAAGUUGAGAACACCUUAAAGAAAACAAUUAAUAAUUUAAUUGAAAAAGUGACUAUGAAUAAGACAUGAAGAUGAUGUAUGCUAGCAGGACCGCAAGCAACGUGGCCCACAACGCACAGAUGCCUCUGGCAAUCUCUUCAGGAAAACGAAGAUUCCUUACCUAGGAUAGGGGACAACCUCGUAAUCUGAUGACAUCAUGAUCCUGGUAGGCCCACAGACAAAUACCUCCAAUAAAAUAAAAGCGAGAAAGCCCAAAGAACAAGCUAUUAAAGUAACCUGGGAGGAUGCAACAGUGCCUGGGCAGAAGGCCCGGAGGGGAUUUGCCCUAAUACUGCCACUGUCCCAAGAAGCAGACCCUGAGACCUGCCUCCUGCACUUCAGAGGCCUGACAAGUAGAACUGAGAGUGACCCUGAGUUCCUUUUCUUUAUCUGGCACCGGCUACACACAAGAUGAGGCCUAGUCAAGCCUGCCUUUGUUCUAGGCAAAAAUUUAACAGGUAAUCCACAGGCCAGUGAUCUAUGGCCUCUGUACAUUAUGGAAAUGAGGGACUACACACAAGCUGGGUGUCACCUCUACUAAAACUCAUUUUCCUUAUUCAUAAAAACAAUACCUCUUCGGAGGGAACUGGCAACUUCUGCACUUACAUACGAAAUCGGGAGUUUCUCUGAAAUACUCCUUGCAAAUUCUAUCCUCCAGCUCUGGAAGCCCCGGCUCUUCGAAGGGCAGCUGCCUGAUGUUAAACCCACGGCCUACCCAGCAGUGACAGCCUGACAUUCUCAUCGCUCCAUCCUGAACACUGCUGACAAAUAAACCCACUCUCAGAAAAGGCAAUUCUUCCCUCGCAGUUCUCCAUACCCAGUCUCGUCUCAUCUGGAAAGCGUAAUUGGCAACAGCCGAAAGGAUAAAUAUUUAAAAAUAAAUCAGGGAGCGCUAACCCCUUCCCUACUCCUCCCCUUACUCACUCUCCAAGCCAGAGGCCUGCCCCCUAACACUGAGCUGGCUGGUAAAUUACAAUGAUUCUACCGAG